Molecule: unclassified non-coding RNA, 336 nt
Filed under: uncultured fungus
Lineage: Eukaryota; Fungi
Description: partial contains small subunit ribosomal RNA, internal transcribed spacer 1, and 5.8S ribosomal RNA
Rfam family: Eukaryotic small subunit ribosomal RNA (bases 1-73)
Source: RNAcentral
ACAAACUUGGUCAUUUAGAGGAAGUAAAAGUCGUAACAAGGUUUCCGUAGGUGAACCUGCGGAAGGAUCAUUACUAAAAAUCAAGCGCGGGGUGAAGGUUAAGACCCAACGCCGCGCUUUUUUUUAAACCAACUGUGAACCAAAAAACAUAAUGCUUCGGUAGCGGGUGCUGGUUCGACCGGUGAGAAUCGGUCCUUCGAGCGCCGUCAGCCUACCGGCAGCAAACCAAACCAAAACUUGCUAUAAACACACUUGUCUGAAACCAAUCAUUUUCGAAUGAAAAUUAAAACUUUCAACAACGGAUCUCUUGGUUCUCGCAUCGAUGAAGAACGCAGC